Molecule: ribosomal RNA, 390 nt
Filed under: uncultured bacterium
Lineage: Bacteria
Description: bacterial SSU rRNA
Rfam family: Bacterial small subunit ribosomal RNA
Source: RNAcentral
AAUCAACGCUGGCGGCGUGCCUCAGACAUGCAAGUCGAACGCGAAAGUCCCCUUCGGGGGACAAGUAGAGUGGCGCACGGGUGAGUAACACGUAGGUAAUCUACCUUCGGAUGGGGAAUAACAAUCGGAAACGGUUGCUAAUACCGCAUAAUGCAGCGGCACCUAAUGGUGACAGUUGUUAAAGCGGGGGAUCGAAAGACCUCGCGUCUGAAGAGGAGCCUGCGGCGGAUUAGCAGUUGGUAAGGUAAUGGCUUACCAAGGCGACGAUCCGUAACCGGCCUGAGAGGGCGGUCGGUCACACUGACACUGACAUACGGGUCAGACUCCUACGGGAGGCAGCAGUCGGGAAUUUUGCGCAAUGGGCGGAAGCCUGACGCAGCGACGCCGCGU